CUGCCCCAGACAAAGGAUGCGCUUGGAUCCAGCUUCACCUAAAACCACAUUUUAAAGGAUCUGCCAAGCUCACUUGUAAUCAUGAGAAAGAAAUUACCCACAUGGACAAAGCAGAAAAUGAGAAAGUAGAGCUCGUGCUGCGAAUAACUCCAGCGAGUGCCAAGGGGCUAGUGAGGAACGGCUUCACGAGG
Unclassified non-coding RNA from Fukomys damarensis (Damara mole-rat), 191 nucleotides. The record is from Ensembl. Lineage: Eukaryota; Metazoa; Chordata; Mammalia; Rodentia; Bathyergidae.